UAAGAGGUCCCGCCUGCCCAGUGACCAUGUGUUCAACGGCCGCGGUAUUUUAACCGUGCAAAGGUAGCGCAAUCACUUGUCUCUUAAAUAGAGACCUGUAUGAAUGGCACAACGAGGGCUCACCUGUCUCCUCCUCCCAGUCAAUGAAAUUGAUCUUCCCGUGCAGAAGCGGGAACACCCCCAUAAGACGAGAAGACCCCAUGGAACUUUAGACACUAGACAACGCACUUUUCAUUCCCUCCUUUCUCGAGCGACCACGUGCCGCCCUGUCUCCUUGUCUUUGGUUGGGGUGACCCCGGAGAAUAAUGAAACCUCCCCAAGAAACAAGAGCACCACUCUCACAACUAAGGCCAACAACCCCAAGUACCAGAACCUCUGAUCAACUGAUCCAGCUCUCGCCGAUUAAUGAACCAAGCUACCCUGGGGAUAACAGCGCAAUCCUCUCCUAGAGCCCAUAUCGACGAGCGGGUUUACGACCUCGAUGUUGGAUCAGGACAUCCUAAUGGUGUAACCGCUAUUAAGGGUUCGUUUGUUCAACG
Molecule: ribosomal RNA, 539 nt
Filed under: Maurolicus muelleri (pearlsides)
Lineage: Eukaryota; Metazoa; Chordata; Actinopteri; Stomiiformes; Sternoptychidae
Description: partial 16S ribosomal RNA
Rfam family: Bacterial large subunit ribosomal RNA
Source: RNAcentral